RNAcentral lists this ribosomal RNA (1483 nucleotides) under uncultured Bordetella sp. RNAcentral describes it as "partial 16S-23S ribosomal RNA intergenic spacer". It matches the Rfam family "Bacterial small subunit ribosomal RNA". Lineage: Bacteria; Pseudomonadati; Pseudomonadota; Betaproteobacteria; Burkholderiales; Alcaligenaceae. The record is from RNAcentral.
GGUUUGAUUCUGGCUCAGAUUGAACGCUGGCGGGAUGCUUUACACAUGCAAGUCGGCCGGCAGCACGGACUUCGGUCUGGUGUGGCGAGUGGCGAACGGGUAGUAAUGUAUCGGAACGUGCCUAGUAGCGGGGGGAUAACUAUUGCGAAAGCGUAGCUAAUACCGCAUAUUGCCCUUCGGGGGAAAGGGGGACCUUUCGGGCCUCGCGCUAUUAGAGCGGCCGAUAUCGGAUUAGCUAGUUGGUGGGGUAACGGCUCACCAAGGCGACGAUCCACAGCUGGUUUGAGAGGACGACCAGCCACACUGGGACUGAGACACGGCCCAGACUCCUACGGGAGGCAGCAGUGGGGAAUUUUGGACAAUGGGGAAACCCUGGAUCUGCGCCAUCCUGGGCGUGUGCGAUGAAGGCCUUCGGGUUGUAAGCUACUUUUGGCAGGAAAGAAAUGGUAUAGCGGGAUAAUACCCCGCGCAACUGACGGUACCUGCAGAAUAAGCACCGGCUAACUACGUGCCAGCAGCCGCGGUAAUACGUAGGGUGCAAGCGUUAAUCGGAAUUACUGGGCGUAAAGCGUGCGCAGGCGGUUCGGAAAGAAAGAUGUGAAAUCCCAGAGCUUAACUUUGAACCGUAUUUUUAACUACCGAGCUAGAGUGUGUCAGAGGGAGGUGGAAUUCCGCGUGUAGCAGAAAUGCGUAGAUAUGGUGAGGAACACCGAUGGCGAAGGCAGCUCUCCUGGGAUAACACUGACGCUCAUGCACGAAAGCGUGGGGAGCAAACAGGAUUAGAUACCCUGGUAGUCCACGCCUCCUAAACGAUGUCAACUAGCUGUUGGGGCCUUCGGCCUGGUAGCGCAGCUAACGCGGUUGACCGCCUGGGGAGUACGGUCGCAAGAUUAAAACCAAAGGAAUUGACGGGGACUCCGCACAAGCGGUGGAUGAUGUGGAUUAAUUCGAUGCAACGCGAAACCUUACCUACCCUUGACAUGUCUGGAAUCCUGAAGAGAUUUGGGAGUGCUCGCAGAGAACCGAACACAGGUGCUGCAUGGCUGUCGUCAGCUCGUACCGAGAUGCUGGGUUAAGUCCCGCAACGAGCGCAACCCUUGUCAUUAGUUGCUACGAAAGGGCACUCUAAUGAGACUGCCGGUGACAAACCGAGGAAGGUGGGGAUGACGUCAAGUCCUCAUGGCCCUUAUGGGUAGGGCUUCACACGUCAUACAAUGGUCGGGACAGAGGGUCGCCAACCCGCGAGGGGGAGCCAAUCCCAGAAACCCGAUCGUAGUCCGGAUCGCAGUUCGCAACUCGACUGCGUGAAGUCGGAAUCGCCAGUAAUCGCGGAUCAGCAUGUCGCGGUGAAUACGUUCCCGGUCUUGUACACACUGCCCGUCACACCAUGGGAGUGGGUUUUACCAGAAGCAGUUAGCCUAACCGUAAGGAGGGCGAUUACCAUCAGUAGAUUCAUGACUGGGGUGAAGUCGUAACAAGGUAG